AAAGGGUCCGUAGGCGGACUCGUAAGUCAGUGGUGAAAUCUCAUAGCUUAACUAUGAAACUGCCAUUGAUACUGCGGGUCUUGAGUAAGGUAGAGGUAGCUGGAAUAAGUAGUGUAGCGGUGAAAUGCAUAGAUAUUACUUAGAACACCAAUUGCGAAGGCAGGUUACCAUGUCUUAACUGACGCUGAUGGACGAAAGCGUGGGGAGCGAACAGGAUUAGAUACCCUGGU
Molecule: ribosomal RNA, 230 nt
Filed under: uncultured bacterium
Lineage: Bacteria
Description: partial 16S ribosomal RNA
Rfam family: Bacterial small subunit ribosomal RNA
Source: RNAcentral